AUUGAACGCUGGCGGCAUGCUUUACACAUGCAAGUCGAACGGCAGCACGGGUGCUUGCACCUGGUGGCGAGUGGCGAACGGGUGAGUAAUGCAUCGGAACGUGCCCAUGAGUGGGGGAUAGCCCGGCGAAAGCCGGAUUAAUACCGCAUACGCCCUUAGGGGGAAAGCGGGGGAUCUUCGGACCUCGCGCUAUUGGAGCGGCCGAUGUCGGAUUAGCUAGUAGGUGAGGUAAAGGCUCACCUAGGCGACGAUCCGUAGCUGGUCUGAGAGGAUGAUCAGCCACACUGGGACUGAGACACGGCCCAGACUCCUACGGGAGGCAGCAGUGGGGAAGUUUGGACAAUGGGCGCAAGCCUGAUCCAGCCAUGCCGCGUGAGUGAAGAAGGCCUCGG
This 392-nucleotide ribosomal RNA is filed under the name uncultured bacterium. RNAcentral describes it as "bacterial SSU rRNA". It matches the Rfam family "Bacterial small subunit ribosomal RNA", at positions 28 to 420 of the family's 1533-position model. The record is from RNAcentral.